GAUGAAACGCUGGGCGGGCGUGCCUAACACAUGCAAAGUCGAAACGAUUAAAAGCACCUUCGGGUGUGUAUAGGAGUGGCGAACGGGUGAGUAACACGUGACCAACCUGCCUCUUACAUUGGGACAACCAAAAGAAAUUUUGGCUAAUACCAAAAUACUCCGCACAUAUCACAUGAUGUAUGCGGGAAAGCUUUUGCGGUAAGAGGAUGGGGUCGCGGCCCAUUAGGUAGACGGCGGGGUAGAAGCCCCCACCCGUGCCGAUGAUGGGUAGCCGGGUUGAGAGACCGACCGGCCACAUUGGGACUGAGAUACGGCCCAGACUCCUACGGGAGGCAGCAGUGGGGAAUAUUGCGCAAUGGGGGAAACCCUGACGCAGCAACGCCGCGUGCGGGAUGAAGGCCUUCGGGUUGUAAACCGCUUUCAGCAGGGGAAGACAUCGACGGUACCUGCAGAAGAAGCCCCGGCUAACUACGUGCCAGCAGCCGCGGUAAU
This 492-nucleotide ribosomal RNA is filed under the name uncultured Coriobacteriaceae bacterium. RNAcentral's name for it is "bacterial SSU rRNA". It matches the Rfam family "Bacterial small subunit ribosomal RNA", at positions 32 to 524 of the family's 1533-position model. Lineage: Bacteria; Bacillati; Actinomycetota; Coriobacteriia; Coriobacteriales; Coriobacteriaceae. The record is from RNAcentral.